This is a long non-coding RNA of Homo sapiens (human), 1494 nucleotides long. Ensembl annotates it as long intergenic non-protein coding RNA 2052. The record is from Ensembl. Lineage: Eukaryota; Metazoa; Chordata; Mammalia; Primates; Hominidae.
AAGAGCCUGCUUUUAAAAAUUGGGUGUCAGAGCAAGCCCCGAGGGCAGCAGCUGUGGGCAGGCUGGAGGAAAUGGUCCCUGUUUAGGUGCUGCACUGGUCUCUGCAUGAUCAAUCCCAGCGCCCAGAACACCGAUAUCAAGGCCUUUGCCUGGCUCUUCUCCAGAUGGUUUUCUAUUGCAGGAGUUUUGCUGGCAGAGAGCUUAUGAAGAAACAGGCUUACAGAAGGCACGGCCAGGCUGCAGGGAUGACUGGGACCUGAAAACAGCCAGCAUCAUCAUUCUUGAAAGUUUGCUGACUUUCCUGUAUUUAUUUUCCAUGGACUAUGAGGAGGAGAAUAAUAGUGGUUCUCUAAUCAAGGGGCAUUCACAGAGGGGCCUAGCCAGGCAGCCUGACCCUGUAGACCUGCUCUGCUCCAGAGAACAGUGGAGGGGAGGGUGGCUUUGCAUGGAAGCUUACACUAUAGUAGGAUGAAAAGAUUGGCUUGGGAGACUGUGAAGGCUCAAAAUUUUUAUUCCAGUCUAUCUACUAGCUCCCAGGGGAUGUGUCUGGGAGAGCUCUCAGUUGUGUGAUGCUGGGAGGAGCUUUAGAUCCCCUCAGCCCUGGCUUACUGGUCUGCAAUGGGAGAAUAGCACAAUUAAUGGAGCAGACAAUAACCAAAUCUGUUAAAUGAUUUCAGGUUUAGAAACGAGGCAUGUAUACGUAUUUAACAGUUCUCAGAAUGUCAAGGAUCCCUCCUCAGAGCAAGAGCUCGAAUUUACAAAAGAAGCACUACCUCCUUUAUCACAUAGUAAAAUAAAGGACCGUGUCUGCUCCAGGACAUGGCUGGUUACAAUUUUGUUUUAAAGAAAUCACCAGAGAAACCUGAGAUUCCAACCCAGCCUUUUGUUUGCCUGGGAUUAUAGCCCAGUUCUUACAAGCAGAGAAGCCUAGGACACUAACCCAGCUUCAAGAGUAUACUCAGAAUCUCAAGAAUCACAAUCUGUGCUGCCCAUUCUUCAACAGACUGUCAUCUGGAGGCCUGGAUUGGAUCAGGAGUCGGGCUCACCAAUGGAGCCCCAAUCAGUCAGUCAGGAGUGAAGAUGAAAGCUUCAAAGGCAUUGAUGACUCACUUCUCACUUGAGUCCAGACCCAUCUGGAUUGCCUGCAAAAAGGUCUCGGCAGUGACCUGAAAACAUAUGUAAAUUACCCAACCAAUUCUAACCAGGACCUGCUGUCUGGCAAUUCAUCCCCAUGUUCUAGACUUGUCCAACAAGCACCCAAGCAACUUUGAGUUCCAUCCUGCAACUCUCAGUCAGGCUCAAGAAAAGCCCCAAUUUUAUCUGGGCAUGGUGACACAUGACUGUAAUCCCAGCUACUCGGGAGGCUGAGGCAGUUGAAUCGCUUGAACCCAGGAAGCGAAGGCUGCAGUGAGCCGAGAUCAUGCCACUGCACUCCAGCCUGGGCAACACAGCGAGACUGUCUCAAAAUAAAAUUAAAAUUAAAUUUUUUAAAAA